Molecule: long non-coding RNA, 2670 nt
Organism: Monopterus albus (swamp eel)
Lineage: Eukaryota; Metazoa; Chordata; Actinopteri; Synbranchiformes; Synbranchidae
Exons: 2
Source: RefSeq, a predicted model, not a curated record
AUUCAAUUUAGAGGAGCCAUCGGACACGGAAACUGCUUCAGUCUCGUCUCUCUCAUCGACCAAACUAACGAGCACCGUUUUAAACUGAUGACUGUUUGUUUAAAUUCUGUUUUACACGACUUGGACGGCAAAGCUUUGCGAUUUGCCAAAGCUGGAUUUACUUUUUGCCACUCCAGACAGUCCCAGCGGUGGUAUUUAGACCAAUUAUGUCUUUAUUCAAAAACAAAUUAGCCGGUUAUAUUUUGUCUGCAUGACUGUUUUGUCGAUUUUAUUUACAGAUCCCGUGAACGUGGAGUGUCUGUAAAUAAAAAUUAUCCUCAAGAUAUCGACUUAUCGAGGAUCCAGCUUUGCCUCAAAUGUCCUUCAUGAGAUAGAGGGAAACUGAUCCAGAGGUCUCCAAGUUCCCGGCCUGAUUAACCCUUCCAGACCUACACAGGAGCAAAGGUUAACCAGGCUAAUCAUCUUCAAGAGUCUGAUUGAAUUAAAUGACUGUGGAAUUAGGACAGAAACUAAAUUGUCCCACUUAAAGACACCAUCAAGAGACAGGCUGGUCAUUUUUGACAACCAUCUUCAUUUAAAUUAACAUAAAAUAUAAAGCACAGAGGAAUUAAUUCUAGACAACAGAGGAUCACUUUUAACAGGUUUCAUUUGGUUCUACUAUAACAUUAAAUAUUUCAACAUACAGAACACCCACAGACCCAUGAACUGUUUUAUCCUGCUUGAUAAAGAUCACUUCAUUGGCCCACGUGUCAUGGCAUCUUAACUGUUGCAUUGCAUCAUAUCAAUUAGUACCCCCUGACUUUCUAGUAAAGUUUACCUCUUGUCUCUUUUCAUUAUUGCUUGAAAGUUGAAAAAAGUAGACCAAUUAGUCUACAUGUAAGUUUAGUUGGAUCAAGGUAAACUGUUUACUGACAAAACAUGCUUAAAGUUCCCUGAAGUCACUUUAUAUGGCAAGGUCCAUUACCUGAAGCAAUGAAAGCAAAACAUGAGCAUUUAAAGCAAAACAUUUAAAUUUUGAGCAUAUAAAAGAUUUGCUGAUUAUGUUGGCAUAAAAUUAUUAUCUCAAAAAUAGCAAUAUUUAGAGAAUAUAAAUAAGGUGUGCAGAGUCUUACGGCUUAUAUUUUCAUUUUGAUUGGACAGCUGUUAAGAACAGCUUUUACAGGUUUAAAAUAUAUUAAAUUCUGUUUCUGUCCUUUUUAUUUCUUAAUAUAUAACUAUAGCAAAUCAACAUCCAUCAUCACAAUCAACACCCUCUUGUGGUAAACAUGGUGCGUGUUUGUAUGUGAGUGAUCUGAUUAUAUGCAUACGCAUGUAGGCGUGUGUGUACAGUCUGACAGAGGUAACCUAUUACAUCCACAUUUUUUGUGAACGUGCUUUCAUAGGUUGAGACCAUUUUAUAAGGAGUUCAUCCAGCGGUGUAGAUCACUUUCUCUCUGUCUGUAUGCCCUAAGGGCUGCUAUCUAACAAGGCAAUAGAUUCCAGAUAGCUCACCGUGUUUAAUUUGCCAAUGAUAGAUUAUAGGGCCAAUAUAAACAGAUAGGGAUCAAUUUGUCUCAAUGAUCACUCUUUAGGCCGACUGCCAGGAUGUUCUUAAUGUAUUUGUAAAUGCUGGUUGUUUGAAUCGCUGCUGUUCGGUUUAAAGUGAGCAAAAACUGUAGCAUGUGGAGAAAUGAACAGGGUAAAUGAUGAAUGAUGUGCUGUUUUGGCUGCUGAAGACUGCCUAGAUGGAGCAUACGCUAGGAUUACUUCAGGCAGCAGAGCUGUAGCAGCAAUGACUAGAAGGUCAAUGGUUGAACUCUAAAGACUUGCUGGGAAAGUGUGGGUAGCGGAAUUGUGUGAUAAGUGCUCUCUAACCCUGAGGAUCUACUGCUGAAGUGCCCUUCGGCAAAGCUGCUUAAACCCCAUCUGUCUCAGUGGAGCUGCACAGCGGCCAGCAGUACAAGACUGCAGUUGUACUGGGCACUUGUGAGAUGUGUCUCUUUGAGAGUGACCUGCCCUCCCUUUUCUUUUUAAAGAGGGAGAGUGGGCUGUCCACUCGCCUAACCAUUUUUUUUUUCAUGUACUCAGACAGUGAAAAACUUUGGGAGAAAACACAAGAAAGCCGUGGCAGCAUUCAGUCCUGAGCCAGACAUGGCUCAUAUGUGGCCCCAAGGGCAACAGACAGUGUAUUGAAUUACUGUAACUCAAGGUGUAAUGUGGUAGCAGCGUGGGAUAUGUAAGAACUACACAAAAGGAUGUCGAAGAGGCUCACUGCAGCUUCAGCUUGCAGUUAUUUAAUGUUGAACUGUGGUUUAAAAUUUCAGAUAUAAUCCCUCUUUAGUAAUAAGGGCAGCAACACUAUUAUUACCAUUAGAUUUAUCAGUUAUGUCACACUGAUAUUAUUAUGUGAAAACCUUGUAUCUCCACAUUUUGUGAUUUCAGUGUGUUAAUGUACAUUAAAGAAUUAUAUGCUUUGUAACACAAGGAGAAAACACUUGGAGCCCUGCUGGAUCAACUCAUAAAUGCAUGUCGGUAAAUGUACUUCUUGAAGAUUUUGGACAUAUCGGAAAUAAAGGAUUUUCAUGAGACAUUUACAAAAGCUGGCCAAUGAAGUAUUACUGUUUGAAGUGUUACUGAAGUAGUCAAAAAAGUAGUGCCUCUGAUUAAUAAAGUUUAAACAUAUCAUAUGAA